This 273-nucleotide ribosomal RNA is filed under the name uncultured bacterium. RNAcentral's name for it is "partial 16S ribosomal RNA". It matches the Rfam family "Bacterial small subunit ribosomal RNA", at positions 524 to 796 of the family's 1533-position model. The record is from RNAcentral.
UACGGAGGGGGCUAGCGUUGUUCGGAAUUACUGGGCGUAAAGCGCACGUAGGCGGCUUUGUAAGUUAGAGGUGAAAGCCCGGAGCUCAACUCCGGAACUGCCUUUAAGACUGCAUCGCUAGAACGUCGGAGAGGUAAGUGGAAUUCCGAGUGUAGAGGUGAAAUUCGUAGAUAUUCGGAAGAACACCAGUGGCGAAGGCGACUUACUGGACGACUGUUGACGCUGAGGUGCGAAAGCGUGGGGAGCAAACAGGAUUAGAAACCCCCGUAGUCC